This 365-nucleotide ribosomal RNA is filed under the name uncultured Acholeplasma sp. RNAcentral's name for it is "bacterial SSU rRNA". It matches the Rfam family "Bacterial small subunit ribosomal RNA", at positions 1014 to 1382 of the family's 1533-position model. Lineage: Bacteria; Bacillati; Mycoplasmatota; Mollicutes; Acholeplasmatales; Acholeplasmataceae. The record is from RNAcentral.
GCGGAGGUAUUCGGGGAGACAGGUGGUGCAUGGUUGUCGUCAGCUCGUGUCGUGAGAUGUUGGGUUAAGUCCCGCAACGAGCGCAACCCCUAUUGCUAGUUACCAUCAUUAAGUUGGGGACUCUAGCGAGACUGCCAGUGAUAAACUGGAGGAAGGUGGGGAUGACGUCAAAUCAUCAUGCCCCUUAUGACCUGGGCUACAAACGUGAUACAAUGGCUGGAACAAAGGGAUGCGAAGCAGUGAUGUGGAGCGAAACCCAUAAAAACAGUCUCGGUUCGGAUUGAAGUCUGCAACUCGACUUCAUGAAGUCGGAAUCGCUAGUAAUCGCGGAUCAGAACGCCGCGGUGAAUACGUUCUCGGGGUUU